RNAcentral lists this long non-coding RNA (907 nucleotides) under Physcomitrium patens. RNAcentral's name for it is "long non-coding RNA (PPAT_LNC014785)". The record is from RNAcentral. Lineage: Eukaryota; Viridiplantae; Streptophyta; Bryopsida; Funariales; Funariaceae.
CUGUAAGUACUCCUCACCUCAGAUGUCUAAUCUACGAGGAGUGUAGAACCCCAGAUGGUGAACUCAGUUGAAUUCCAUGCUUCUGCUUGCACAAAAUUCAGCUCACUGAUGAUUGUGCAUUUUUGAGAUAAUUGAAGUUACGUAUGCGUCUCUACAGAGAGAAAACGGGCGUACUGCUCAAUGCUCUGCCCAUCUUGUGCAGGUUCUUAUUGUAUUCAUCUACGCGGGACUUCUAUAUAUUAUAAUGGCACAUAUUGCACAAAAUCUGUCGCUUUUGAGAGAGCAGCUGCAGCAAAUACAGGCUGAGGGCGUCCACAUGAUGCACAAUGCUGUUCAUACGAAGUAUAUCAUGUUCAGGUUAGGGCCCAGAUACUCUGAAAAAUUUAGCCUGAACAUUGAACUCCGAUGGUCAUACUUCACAAGGCAAAAGACUCGCAUGCAAAAAAACAUUUCUUUCUAAAGUUCGGUGUUCUCCUCCGGUGCGAUAUAAAGCUGACUUGGCUGGAAUAUCAUCAAUUAUUGGUCUUCGCAGAAAGUUUCAAGGAGCUAUGCUGGCAAUGGUCGUUGCUGAAAUUCUUGUACGUGGAAAUUUCAAAAUGUGUUCCAAGGUUAAAAUAUUCUGAGUUUGCAUGUAUACAUUAAAUAAAGUAAAUAAAAAUAAAAUAAAAUACAGUAAAAAGGGGAGGGGAUGCAUUGCAUACGCACAACCUAUUUACCUGGCAUUAUCUAGACAUGGAGCAGGGUAGCCUUAUCGUUUUUGGCAGGAUACUAAGUGUGCUAUAAUUUCAAGCACUUCUCUCCCAUUCCGAUAGGUUAGCUGAAUUGUUCACUUCCUAUUCCACAGCUUCUAUUAUUCUCUUGUCAGGUGAUGAUCGUUAUAUAAGUGGUGAUAUUCCCCUUGUGACAG